CCUACGGGAGGCAGCAGUGAGGAAUAUUGGUCAAUGGACGAGAGUCUGAACCAGCCAAGUAGCGUGAAGGAUGACUGCCCUAUGGGUUGUAAACUUCUUUUAUAAAGGAAUAAAACGAGGCACGUGUGCCUUUUUGCAUAUACUUUAUGAAUAAGGAUCGGCUAACUCCGUUCCAGCAGCCGCGGUAAUACGGAGGAUCCGAGCGUUAUCCGGAUUUAUUGGGUUUAAAGGGAGCGUAGAUGGGUUGUUAAGUCAGUUGUGAAAGUUUGCGGCUCAACCGUAAAAUUGCAAUUGAUACUGGCAGUCGUGAGUACAGUUGAGGUAGGCGGAAUUCGUGGUGUAGCGGUGAAAUGCUUAGAUAUCACGAAGAACCCCGAUUGCGAAGGCAGCUUACUAAACUGUGACUGACAUUGAUGCUCGAAAGUGUGGGUAUCAAACAGGAUUAGAUACCCGGGUAGUC
RNAcentral lists this ribosomal RNA (460 nucleotides) under uncultured bacterium. RNAcentral's name for it is "partial 16S ribosomal RNA". It matches the Rfam family "Bacterial small subunit ribosomal RNA", at positions 338 to 795 of the family's 1533-position model. The record is from RNAcentral.